Molecule: non-coding RNA, 75 nt
Organism: Podarcis lilfordi (Lilford's wall lizard)
Lineage: Eukaryota; Metazoa; Chordata; Lepidosauria; Squamata; Lacertidae
Source: the annotation of a GenBank genome assembly
GCCCUUGAUAGUUCAGUCGGUAGAGCAUGACACUUUUAAUCAUAAGAGUUGUGGGUUCAAUCCCCAUGUUGGGCA